RNAcentral lists this transfer RNA (75 nucleotides) under Danionella cerebrum. RNAcentral's name for it is "tRNA-Val". It matches the Rfam family "tRNA". From Rfam's summary of the family: Transfer RNA (tRNA) molecules are approximately 80 nucleotides in length. Their secondary structure includes four short double-helical elements and three loops (D, anti-codon, and T loops). Lineage: Eukaryota; Metazoa; Chordata; Actinopteri; Cypriniformes; Danionidae. The record is from RNAcentral.
GCUUUCCUGUUUCUCAGUUGGUAGAGCAUUGCACUAACAAUGCAAAUGUUGUGGGUUCAAAUCCCAGGGAAAGCA